UUAAUCUGCCUUAUGUAGUCCCAACACUUCU
This 31-nucleotide non-coding RNA is filed under the name Rattus norvegicus (Norway rat). The record is from RNAcentral. Lineage: Eukaryota; Metazoa; Chordata; Mammalia; Rodentia; Muridae.